GAAGAGGAUUAGGGUCACUGGGGGGGGAGCGUAUUUUGUUUGUUUGUUAGUUGUUUUUUCCUUUUCAAAAAUUCUGAGAUCAAAAUCAGCUUGCAUAUAAUUCCAAACUUGACCAAUCUGUUUGUGAUAGAGUAAUUCAUUUCAAUUUUAUUUAUAUAGCAACAGCGGUCGCUUCACUACACUUUAUAUCGUAGGGUAGAAAACCUAUAAUAAUACAGAGAAAACCGCUACAAUCAACAAUUUCAAAAAGCACUUGGCGACAGUGGGAAGGAAAAACUCUUUUAACAGGAGGAAAUCUCUGUCAGAAGCAGGUUCAGGGAGGGGCAGUCAUCUGCUGCCAACACUUGGAGAGAGCAGAGGAAGACAGGACACAAGACACACUGUGAAAGAGAGCUACAUUGCAAAUCUGUUGAUGUGUAGAAACAUUAGCCUUGCUUUUACAUAAGAAAAUAUCCAGACCACAUACUGAUAAAUCAGUCACCCCUUUUUCUUCUUUCUUUCUUUUUUUUUUUUUUUGCAAAGAAACACCAUGCAGAUAAACUGCAGCCAUUUGUGCAGACAGACUGAGAUUAACUGUAAUGUUCUGGCAGUCUUGCUGCAUUUACAAAUUGGAGCACAGUUAUCUGCAAACUGUGAGGGACCCGAGAGUGACUCCAGUCAGUGUGACUUGGACUGCAAUUGUUUGGAGAUAAGUUUCCUCCCCUGUGAAUUCUGUUUUAUCUUUAGAAAUAGAGAAACUUUAGUGUCGAUUAUGUAGCCCUGCUGUCAAUAACAAGUUCAUUUAACUGCAAAAGAAACUUUAUUUAUUCAUUUUUAUUUACUGCACAAUUUCACAACAUCAUCUAUAGAAAGACCCACGCUGAGGGCCUAAGAGCAAGUGAAGUAGAUAGAAAAGCCUCAGUUAUCCAGAAAAUACUAGUAUGGAUUUAACAGCAAGCCUAAUCGGUUCUCCUCAAAGAGUUUUUAUCAUUUUGUGCCGUACGUAACAGUGCAAACCUCGCUGAAACUCCUUUGAGCACAACCUCUAACGCCUCAUCCCAGAAGCGCAGCA
This is a long non-coding RNA of Astatotilapia calliptera (eastern happy), 1051 nucleotides long. The record is from Ensembl. Lineage: Eukaryota; Metazoa; Chordata; Actinopteri; Cichliformes; Cichlidae.